Molecule: ribosomal RNA, 1391 nt
Filed under: uncultured Clostridiaceae bacterium
Lineage: Bacteria; Bacillati; Bacillota; Clostridia; Eubacteriales; Clostridiaceae
Description: bacterial SSU rRNA
Rfam family: Bacterial small subunit ribosomal RNA
Source: RNAcentral
GAUAAACGCUGGCGGCGCACAUAAGACAUGCAAGUCGAACGGAAGUCGUCUUACGACUGAAGAAGAAAUGGAAAUAGAUUUAUCUAAAGAAAUGGAAAAAGAAGAAAUAAGACAAAUGGCUUUAGUGGCGGACUGGUGAGUAACACGUAAGUAACCUACCUAUUAGAGGGGAAUAACAGUGAGAAAUCACUGCUAAUACCGCAUAGUUUAGCAAUAUCACAAGGUAAAGCUAAUAAAGGAGUAAUCCGCUAAUAGAUGGGCUUGCGGCUGAUUAGCUAGUUGGUGAGAUAACAGCCCACCAAGGCAACGAUCAGUAGCCGGACUGAGAGGUUGAACGGCCACAUUGGGACUGAGAUACGGCCCAGACUCCUACGGGAGGCAGCAGUCGGGAAUAUUGCGCAAUGGAGGGAACUCUGACGCAGUGACGCCGCGUAUAGGAAGAAGGUUUUAGGAUUGUAAACUAUUUUAGUCAGGGAAGAAGAAGACGGUACCUGAAGAAUAAGCUCCGGCUAACUACGUGCCAGCAGCCGCGGUAAUACGUAGGGAGCGAGCGUUAUCCGGAAUUAUUGGGUGUAAAGGGUGCGUAGACGGGAAAUUAAGUUAGUUGUGAAAUACCUAGGCUCAACCUAGGCCGUGCAACUAAAACUGAUAUUCUUGAGUGCUGGAGAGGUAAGCGGAAUUCCUAGUGUAGCGGUGAAAUGCGUAGAUAUUAGGAGGAACACCAGUGGCGAAGGCGGCUUACUGGACAGUAACUGACGUUGAGGCACGAAAGUGUGGGGAGCAAACAGGAUUAGAUACCCUGGUAGUCCACACCGUAAACGAUGGAUACUAGGUGUAGGGGAUUAUAUGUCCUCUGUGCCGAAAGCAAACGCAAUAAGUAUCCCACCUGGGGAGUACGACCGCAAGGUUGAAACUCAAAGGAAUUGACGGGGGCCCGCACAAGCAGUGGAGUAUGUGGUUUAAUUCGAAGCAACGCGAAGAACCUUACCAGGGCUUGACAUAUACUUGAAUAUUAGGGAAACUUAAUAGCUUUUCGGAGCAAGUAUACAGGUGGUGCAUGAUUGUCGUCAGCUCGUGUCGUGAGAUGUUGGGUUAAGUCCCGCAACGAGCGCAACCCCUGUUUCUAGUUACCAGCACAUAAAGGUGGGGACUCUAGAGAGACUGCCGGUGAAAAAUCGGAGGAAGGUGGGGACGACGUCAAAUCAUCAUGCCCUAUAUGUCCUGGGCAACACACGUACUACAAUGGUCGUAACAGAGAGAAACAAAGAAGCAAUUCGGAGUAAAACUAGAAAAGCGACCCCAGUUCGGAUUGAAGACUGAAACUCGUCUUCAUGAAGUUGGAAUUGCUAGUAAUGGCAGGUCAGCAUACUGCCGUGAAUACGUUCCCGGGC